This 919-nucleotide long non-coding RNA is filed under the name Sinocyclocheilus grahami. Its description in RNAcentral is "lncRNA (ENSSGRG00000010927.1)". Lineage: Eukaryota; Metazoa; Chordata; Actinopteri; Cypriniformes; Cyprinidae. The record is from RNAcentral.
GAUAAUGUGAGAAAUGUUGAGAGUGUCUGAAUAAGUUUUGGUUUGACUGUAUAUAAUAAUAUAAUUGUUUGUUUUUAGGGUCCUGUAUUUAGAUUUAAAUACAUACAGUUUUUGAAAUGUAAUUUUCUGUGAAACUGUCUCUACGUUACCUUUAAUUGACAUUUUAACACUUCAUUAAUUGCCUGUGUGUUGUAUUUAGCAGUGGGCACCCAGGAGGAUAUGACGGACGUCCUGUUGCUCCAUACCCUUUUCCUACAGGUGGGUUUCCUCCACCCAUGCAAGGAGCUGUUAACCCCUGGCCUGGUUUGAUGGACAACCCAAAGCAGUGGGACUAUUACCCUCGGCGAGACAAAGAGAGGGAAAAAGAGCGAGAGAGAGACAGGCCGAGGGAAAGGGGUCAUGAGAGAGACCAUAGUCCCUCUGCUGUGGUUUAUAACAGUGAUGAAGAACGGUAUCGUUCUUACCGUGAUUACGGAGACAGAGGGUAUGAGAGGCAUCGGGAGCGAUCGAGCCGAGAGAAGGAGGAGCGUCACAGGGAGAGGAGACACAGAGAGAAAGAGGAAGGGAGGCACAAGUCAUCGCGGAGUAGCAGACGGAGACAUGACAGCGAGGAGGGUGACAGUCACCGGCGCCACAAGCACAAGAAGUCCAAAAGGAGCAAAGAGGGCAAGGAGCCCAGUGAGGAGCGUUCUGCUGACCAGGAGAACCAGGAGGCCAUGGAGUAACUCCUGUCUGUCUUCUCCGCUCUCCUUCUUUCUUAUCAUCAGAGCGUUGGUUGUCCACCAAAUCAUGCUAUAUGAAAUUAUAAUCCAGUUUACCUUCCUUUUGUGUUCAUGUUUCCCUUUUUUUUUGUUUUUGCAGUUUUUCUCCAGUGCAGUUGUGUACCAUGUAGAUGUUGAUUUGUUGGAUUAAAAAAGAG